AGGGCUUAGUGGCAGUAGUUCCUUUCUUCUUCUCGGCAGCUGUUAACAGCAUAGUAUAUAGAACCUGAACUAUAUAAUUAUUUCAGUUAGCAUCAUUUUGAUGAAUAUCGGUCUGGUGAUGUGUGUGACCGAGUGGGAGCAUCACGUGCUGGUGUACAACUUCAUGGACACCAUGGCUCAGUCCACGUGCACCGCCCCUGGCGCCUGAUGACCACGUGAAAGUGUGGGCCGUUCGUCAUGACUGUAAAUCCGUUAGCAUUACUUGCGAAGAAGUGUGCGAUAAUGUCAGACUAAGUUGCGAUAAUUCUCUGUACGUGUACAAAGAACCGAGGCUACUAGAAGCAAAUCCUGUGCCUGGAUAUCAGCCCGAUGCGAUCACUCAGGGUCUCAGCAUCCAACGCUUCAUCAGUUCCGACGCCUGUGGCAUUUCAUCCUGUGGCCCCAACUAUUGUUGCUGUUAUGAAUCGGCCGACCCCAUACAUCCUCUGUGAAUGUAUCAGUCGUAUUUCCAUGACAUUUCAUCAGGGGUUCACGAGUACAGAUUAAACCCACUGUCAAAUCUGCAUUAAUUUGGGUGUACCUCAAUCACACACAUUUUCGUCAAAGUGUAAUGAAUGAACU
Long non-coding RNA from Liolophura sinensis, 621 nucleotides. RefSeq lists it as uncharacterized. The record is from RefSeq and is a predicted model, not a curated record. The transcript is spliced from 3 exons. Lineage: Eukaryota; Metazoa; Mollusca; Polyplacophora; Chitonida; Chitonidae.